Molecule: long non-coding RNA, 183 nt
Organism: Cyprinodon tularosa
Lineage: Eukaryota; Metazoa; Chordata; Actinopteri; Cyprinodontiformes; Cyprinodontidae
Exons: 3
Source: RefSeq, a predicted model, not a curated record
CUGACAAGUCAUCUUUGGGGAUCUUAAUCAUUGCUGGAGGACCAUUAACCUACAACGUGGCUGCCCAUGCCACUUUGAAAGUAUUUCCCCUGCUGAAAGAAUACUGCAUGCAAUAAAUGAGGAAAUGGAUUUUACUGAUUCUGAUGUUCCAGAUGCUCAAACAUCUCAUCUAAGAAAACCUGC